UGAGAGUAAAUCGGAUCAAGAGCUUGCGGGGACCUUUUGUACAGUAGUUGGUGUUAUAUGAUGAUGAUAUUGGUGCGUCGAUCCUAAAAGCACGGAAGCUUGACAAAAGGGGGAGCCUGAAGAAAGAGACUACCAAGAGGGAGAGUAACUGAAGCUAAAGAUAGAUCCACGGGGAUUCUGUUCGAGAAAGAGAAAGACAAGACGCUACGAGAUUGACUGUGGCAAUAUCCAAGGGGGAGAUUGUUAGUGCAUUAAAUGUCUAUCGCCUCCGUCAAUCAAAAUCAUAGUAGAAACCGAAGAAUGCAAGACUUGAUGAUCUUACUAGUUAGUAAAGGCAAGGUGGCAAUUGUGUAAAUAAUGAGACUUCUCAUUAUAACCUUGUGCCUAUAAAUAGGAGCUUUAGUUGUAAAGUGUAAGACUUUUGCUCAUUUGGUGAUUUAGGAGAUUCAAGUCUAGAGAGAGAAAGUACUCUCUACGUGAUUCUUGUAUUGUACACGUCAUAUCUU
RNAcentral lists this long non-coding RNA (506 nucleotides) under Helianthus annuus (common sunflower). Its description in RNAcentral is "sRNA HanXRQr2_Chr11g0498341". The record is from RNAcentral. Lineage: Eukaryota; Viridiplantae; Streptophyta; Magnoliopsida; Asterales; Asteraceae.